AUUCCCUUUAAUUACAGUCCAGAGAGGCUGAGAAGGAACUAGAGAACGGUCAGGUACAGAUUUAGUGUAUCUGGAUAUUAUCGUAUGCUCAAAAACCUCUCAUCUUCUGGUGAGAGGUUUUAUUAUU
Molecule: regulatory RNA element, 127 nt
Organism: Anaerobacillus arseniciselenatis
Lineage: Bacteria; Bacillati; Bacillota; Bacilli; Caryophanales; Bacillaceae
Rfam family: PyrR binding site
About the family: This family represents the PyrR binding site and terminator structure.
Source: Rfam